RNAcentral lists this long non-coding RNA (231 nucleotides) under Cyanistes caeruleus (blue tit). RNAcentral describes it as "lncRNA (ENSCCEG00000015498.1)". Lineage: Eukaryota; Metazoa; Chordata; Aves; Passeriformes; Paridae. The record is from RNAcentral.
UCAGGUCAUGCAAAAGAAGCUGCAUGCCAGCCACAGAUGCAGAGUGUUUUCAGACUUCUUCCCAAAUCUUUGUGCUAAAUGGGUUGAAGUAGAUUUGGUUUGUACUUCUCAGAGAGGAUUCAAUGUGACAUGUUAUGGGAAGCUCUGGCAGAAAUAUGUGGUAAGUAGGUCACAACAGCUCUGUUGAUUAGCAUAUUGGUGAUUUAAAACCACAGUAUCAGUUAUAAAGUG